This 729-nucleotide long non-coding RNA is filed under the name Pan paniscus (pygmy chimpanzee). RNAcentral's name for it is "lncRNA (ENSPPAG00000044838.1)". Lineage: Eukaryota; Metazoa; Chordata; Mammalia; Primates; Hominidae. The record is from RNAcentral.
GCUGUCUCAGCAGGGGAGAGGCAAGAGGGCUGCCGAGGCUGGCUGGGGCGUGCUGUCUCAAUGGUGGGGGAAGUGGUGGGGAACAAAGGCCUCCCUAAGGGCUCCAUGCCGGAUUCUAGUUUGCCGGCUAAUCAUUGUUAAAUACAUGCACAUAUUUGCUCAGAGCUUGACUGUGUUACUUCUAAUCAAUUCCUUUUUUCCUUUAAGAUCUGGAAAUCCAAUUGGCUAACACAGCAUGAGGUGAGCACAGCCAGGUCCAGGCCUGCACCGCAGUUGUGGCCACACCACAGCUGCCAAGCUGACGCAGGGAUGCCACCACACAGCCAGGGAUGGAGGCCACUUCCCCAGUGUCGGCCCAGGAUGCCAGGCAUCUGCAGAGCCUUCAUCCGGGCCGAGGCUCCCACAGGAAUGCCAACAACGCAUCCUCAGGCUCCUCCCUUUGAAGCACAUGAGAGAACGGACACACCAACCCCCACUGGAAGCAGUGAACAGGGGUAUCAGCGAGACAGCAGGGACCCUUCGAGUAUGUGGAAUGUCCCAUGUCAUCCCUACAAAAGUGUGGGGCUGAGCGUCACAUCCCAGCACGGCAUAACGUCGACAGUUUCCUGCUACAAUGACCUCCAAAGGAGGCCUGAGACACAACAGAAGGUGGAGGUUACCUCCAACAUCCAACCCACCAGCACAGACAGAAGGAAGAAAGCUGGAGAAAAGGCCGAGAUGCAAAACUGA